CAUAUCAAUAAGCGGAGGAAAAGAAACCAACAGGGAUUGCCCUAGUAACGGCGAGUGAAGCGGCAACAGCUCAAAUUUGAAAUCUGGCGCAAGCCCGAGUUGUAAUUUGUAGAGGAUGCUUCUAGGUAGCGACCGGUCUAAGUUCCUUGGAACAGGACGUCAUAGAGGGUGAGAAUCCCGUAUGUGACCGGCCCGCACCUUCUACGUAGCUCCUUCGACGAGUCGAGUUGUUUGGGAAUGCAGCUCUAAAUGGGAGGUAAAUUUCUUCUAAAGCUAAAUACCGGCCAGAGACCGAUAGCGCACAAGUAGAGUGAUCGAAAGAUGAAAAGCACUUUGGAAAGAGAGUUAAAAAGCACGUGAAAUUGUUGAAAGGGAAGCGCUCACAACCAGACUUCUGGGCGGUGUUCCGCCGGUCUUCUGACCGGUCUACUCGCCGUCCCGAGGCCAACAUCAUCUGGGACCGCUGGAUAAGACCUCAGGAAUGUAGCUUCCCUCGGGAAGUGUUAUAGCCUGUGGUGAUGCAGCGCGUCUCGGGUGAGGUCCGCGCUUCGGCAAGGAUGUUGGCGUAAUGGUUGUCAGCGGCCCGUCUUGAAACACGGACCAAGGAGUCUAACAUCUAUGCGAGUGUUCGGGUGUCAAACCCCUACGCGUAAUGAAAGUGAACGGAGGUGGGAAGCGUAAGCUGCACCAUCGACCGAUCCUGAUGUCCUCGGAUGGAUUUGAGUAAGAGCAUAGCUGUUGGGACCCGAAAGAUGGUGAACUAUGCCUGAAUAGGGUGAAGCCAGAGGAAACUCUGGUGGAGGCUCGCAGCGGUUCUGACGUGCAAAUCGAUCGUCAAAUUUGGGUAUAGGGGCGAAAGACUAAUCGAACCAU
Molecule: ribosomal RNA, 873 nt
Filed under: Ramularia vallisumbrosae
Lineage: Eukaryota; Fungi; Ascomycota; Dothideomycetes; Mycosphaerellales; Mycosphaerellaceae
Description: eukaryotic LSU rRNA
Rfam family: Eukaryotic large subunit ribosomal RNA
Source: RNAcentral